GGCGAGGUGGUGGAAUUGGUAGACACGAGGGACUUAAAAUCCCUUGGGCAUUGCGCCCGUGCGGGUUCGAUCCCCGUCCUCGCUA
Molecule: transfer RNA, 85 nt
Filed under: Caudoviricetes sp.
Lineage: Duplodnaviria; Heunggongvirae; Uroviricota; Caudoviricetes
Description: tRNA-Leu
Rfam family: tRNA
About the family: Transfer RNA (tRNA) molecules are approximately 80 nucleotides in length. Their secondary structure includes four short double-helical elements and three loops (D, anti-codon, and T loops). Further hydrogen bonds mediate the characteristic L-shaped molecular structure. tRNAs have two regions of fundamental functional importance: the anti-codon, which is responsible for specific mRNA codon recognition, and the 3' end, to which the tRNAs corresponding amino acid is attached (by aminoacyl-tRNA synthetases). tRNAs cope with the degeneracy of the genetic code in two manners: having more than one tRNA (with a specific anti-codon) for a particular amino acid; and 'wobble' base-pairing, i.e. permitting non-standard base-pairing at the 3rd anti-codon position.
Source: RNAcentral